Molecule: ribosomal RNA, 714 nt
Filed under: uncultured fungus
Lineage: Eukaryota; Fungi
Description: SSU rRNA
Rfam family: Eukaryotic small subunit ribosomal RNA
Source: RNAcentral
AGGAUAGAGGCCUACCAUGGUGGUAACGGGUAACGGGGUGUUAGGGCACGACACCGGAGAGGGAGCCUGAGAAACGGCUACCACAUCCAAGGAUGGCAGCAGGCGCGCAAAUUACCCAAUCCCGACACGGGGAGGUAGUGACAAUAAAUAACAAUACGGGGUUCUUUCGGAUCUCGUAAUUGGAAUGAGUACAAUUUAAAUCUCUUAACGAGGAACAAUUGGAGGGCAAGUCUGGUGCCAGCAGCCGCGGUAAUUCCAGCUCCAAUAGCGUAUAUUAAAGUUGUUGCAGUUAAAAAGCUCGUAGUUGAAUUUCGGGGUUAGUAGGUUGGUCAUGCCUCUGGUAUGUACUGGUCUCACUGAUUCCUCCUUCCUGAUGAACCGUAAUGCCAUUAAUUUGGUGUUGCGGGGAAUUUGGACUGUUACUUUGAAAAAAUUAGAGUGUUUAAAGCAAGCUAACGCUUGAAUACAUUAGCAUGGAAUAAUGAAAUAGGACGUUCGAUCUUAUUUUGUUGGUUUCUAGGAUUGACGUAAUGAUUAAUAGGGAUAGUUGGGGGCAUUAGUAUUCAAUUGUCAGAGGUGAAAUUCUUGGAUUUAUUGAAGACUAACUACUGCGAAAGCAUUUGCCAAGGAUGUUUUCAUUAAUCAAGAACGAAAGUUAGGGGAUCGAAGACGAUCAGAUACCGUCGUAGUCUUAACCAUAAACUAUGCCGACUA